CGGGGUAUAGCGCAGCUUGGUAGCGCACCUGCUUUGGGAGCAGGGGGUCGUGGGUUCAAAUCCCCCUACCCCGACCA
This 77-nucleotide transfer RNA is filed under the name Candidatus Kentrum sp. LPFa. RNAcentral's name for it is "Candidatus Kentron sp. LPFa tRNA_Pro_TGG". It matches the Rfam family "tRNA". Rfam says of the family: Transfer RNA (tRNA) molecules are approximately 80 nucleotides in length. Their secondary structure includes four short double-helical elements and three loops (D, anti-codon, and T loops). Further hydrogen bonds mediate the characteristic L-shaped molecular structure. tRNAs have two regions of fundamental functional importance: the anti-codon, which is responsible for specific mRNA codon recognition, and the 3' end, to which the tRNAs corresponding amino acid is attached (by aminoacyl-tRNA synthetases). tRNAs cope with the degeneracy of the genetic code in two manners: having more than one tRNA (with a specific anti-codon) for a particular amino acid; and 'wobble' base-pairing, i.e. permitting non-standard base-pairing at the 3rd anti-codon position. RNAcentral also lists the same sequence under 1 other name. Lineage: Bacteria; Pseudomonadati; Pseudomonadota; Gammaproteobacteria. The record is from RNAcentral.